GUACUGGUACAUGAUGUUCCUUUAAAUACUCAUUAAUAAUUCCUAUAUAAAGAAUACUAAUGAACAUAAAAAAUUAUAUAACUUGUCAUCAUGAUAUUUAGCAUUUUAUGUAUCAACCGGUCUGCAGCAAAUGUUUAGAAUUUUUCUGCUUUGCAGUGAUUAGUCAAUUUUACGAAAUCGUCGAAUCGAAAAUGCACUUUCAAACAUGAACGACAAAGUGAUUGUUUAUAUUCAGUGUGGUUGUAAAUAAUUAUGAUUAUUC
Molecule: non-coding RNA, 262 nt
Organism: Paramuricea clavata
Lineage: Eukaryota; Metazoa; Cnidaria; Anthozoa; Malacalcyonacea; Plexauridae
Source: the annotation of a GenBank genome assembly